Molecule: long non-coding RNA, 2458 nt
Filed under: Sus scrofa (pig)
Lineage: Eukaryota; Metazoa; Chordata; Mammalia; Artiodactyla; Suidae
Description: lncRNA (ENSSSCG00045008304.1)
Source: RNAcentral
AUUCAUUUGCUCAAAUUUCACAGUAGAUUUGUGACAGGAAGUAUUUAUUUUCUUAGCUUCUACUAACACAUAGUUUUUAAAGUUUUUCUCAUUUAUUACUUUGUACUGUACCCUUCCUCACUGAAUCAACCAAACCUGGCCCUUUAUUUCCAAAUCAAAGAUGCUCUACUGGGCCCAAAUCCAAAUUAGAAUGGUUCCAAGAAUGGAUCAGGUCAUCAAAGGAGGCCUCACAUUUUCAUUCUCUAUUAUUCCUUCAUACUUUUUCUUUUUAAUUUUCUUUCUAGAGCUGCACCUGUGGCACAUGGAAGUUCCCAGGCUAGGGAUCAAAUUGGACCUGCAGCUGAGGUCUACACAACAGCCAUAGAAACCCUGGAUCUGAGCUGAAGCUGUGACCUACACUGCAGACUGCAGCAACAUGACCCUUAACCCACUGAGCAAGCUUCCUUAAAGACCAAACUCUAUUAUCUCACUCAGAAGCUCCAGGAGAACAAUAAUUAGGAAUUCUUCCAUAAGUCUAAUAUCACAGCAAAAGAAGCAAUGCCACACUUCAGUUAGUAACCCCCUGGGACAGAUUAUAGGACAAUAAUGCUGUGGGUCAUAACACAUUAACAAUUAAGACACAGGUGGGAACCAGCCUCAACAAGAGCUCUUGGCUUUCUAUGGUCCUGGGAGUUGUUUUAGCCAAUGGACAAGUCUGGCCACACACAUUUUAACACAGAAGUGUGCUAAUCAAGAGAGUAACCACAAGCCACCUAUGGCUAUUUAAAGUGAUUAAAAUUCAUAAGAUUAAAAAUUCAGCUCCUAGACACAUUACAAGCACUCAGUAGCCAUAGGACCUAAUAGAACAUAAAUCUAUCCUGUGACUGAGCCAUGGGGACCAGCCUUCUGCACUCUUGGGGUGGGGAGGUGCAAUUCCAAGAAACUAAAGGCAGGGGUCCAGAUACUGGGGCAGCUGUGAGCCCUAUGCUGCUGACGUAGCUGGGGGAUGGACGCCCCAUCCAGUAAAGAGGACCGAUACUCCAAUACUAUCUAUACUCCAAUACUCUCUAUUGCAAAAGGCAGUGGACACUGACACUUCACUGAAUAAAGCUCAACAAAAACAUAUCAUCACAAAUACAAAACUGAGCAUUUUACUCUUUAUUAGCCUUUCUUUCUACCCUUGGGAGCCUUACUGUUCUUGACUUCCCCACCUGACUACGGAAUCCUUGAGGGUAGACGCCAGCUCUUUUUAUUCCUUCUAUCUCUACUAUCUGGCACACCUUAGGAGUUCUGAAGGUUUUCUAUGUAUAGUAUCAUGUCAUCUGCAUACAGUGACAGUUUUAUCUCUUCUCUUCCUAUUUGGACGGCAAAACUUUCCCUAAAAAAAGACAUAUGCACCCGCAUGUUCACUGCAGCUCUAUUGACAACAGCCAAGGCAUGGAAACAACCCAAAUGGCCACUAACUGAUGAUUGAAUUAGGAAGAUGUGGUAUGUAUACACAAUGGAAUGCUACUCAGCCAUAAAAAAGACUGAACGAAACAACACCAUUUGCAGCAACAUGGAUGGAACUAGAGACUCUCAUACUGAAUGAAGUAAGUCAGAAGGAGAAAGACGAAUACCACAUGAUAUCACUCAUAUCUGGUAUCUAACAUACAGCACAAAUGAAUCUUUCCACAGAAAAGAGAAUCAUGAAUUUGGAGAAUAGACUUGUGGUUGCCAAGUGGGAGGGGGAGGGAGUGGGAGGGACUGGGAGCUUGGGGUUAACAGAUGCAAACUAUUGCUCUUGGAAUGGAUUAACAAUGAGAUCCUGCUGUGUAGCACUGAGAACUGUGUCUAGAUACUUCAAACACAGCAUGACAAUGGGAGAAAAAAUUUACAUAUACUUGUAUAUGUAACUGGGUUCCCAUGCUGUAGAGUGGGGAAAAAAGUGUGUUGGGGGAAAUAACAAUAAUAAAUAAAUAAAUAAAUAAAUAAAUAUAAAUUUAAUAAUAUGCACUGGUAACUAAGGUGUAUGUAUACAAUGAUAAGUUGAUACUCUUGAUUUCAGAUGGUAUCAAAGUUAAUUUCUGAAGAUUGAGAACUCACUAGAGCUGAAAUUAAAGUCCUCUUGCUAAAACCCAAAGGAAUCACAUGACAAAUUAAAUGAGGUUUGUCUUGAGUGUAUAAUAAUUCACACACUGUGUUCUUGUCUCAUUCCUAAGUACAGUACAUUUUUGAGAAAAAAAACAUUUGAUCAAUUUAUGAUCUAUUAAUCUCUGUGUGUUGUGAGGGAGAACUUAUCUCUAAAGAUAUCAAUCAGACUUUUUUCUUUAACAAUUUUUAUAAAAUAUUUUUUUCUGAAAGGGUUGCUGGGUACAUUACAAUACCAACAAGUUAUAUAUGGUUAUUUUUCAUAUGAGAAAAAACUCAAAAUAUAUAUCUGUCCUAUGCACUAAACUAUGUUUAGUUCAAGCAUCAUUUGAUGAGAAGGUAAGGUAGA